RNAcentral lists this ribosomal RNA (543 nucleotides) under Rhodnius stali. RNAcentral describes it as "partial 16S ribosomal RNA". It matches the Rfam family "Bacterial large subunit ribosomal RNA", at positions 1808 to 2624 of the family's 2925-position model. The record is from RNAcentral. Lineage: Eukaryota; Metazoa; Arthropoda; Insecta; Hemiptera; Reduviidae.
CAAAAACAUGUCUUUUUGAUUAUUAUAUAAGGUCUGGCCUGCCCAAUGAGGAAUUGAAUGGCUGCGGUAUUUUAACCGUGCUAAGGUAGCAUAAUCAUUUGUCUUUUAAUUGAGGGCUUGUAUGAAAGGUUGGAUGAAUCAAUAACUUUCUUUAAUUUAAUUUAUGAAUUUAAUUUUUUAGUCAAAAAGCUAAAAUAUUUUUAUUGGACGAGAAGACCCUAUAGAUCUUUACAGGUUAUUAAAUUUGAUAAUUUAGGGAAUUACUUAUUUUUAUUUAAAAUCUUGUUUGAUUGGGGUGAUUGUAGAAUUUUAUAAACUUCUAUUGUUUGAUUUUCAAUAAUUAUUGUUUAAUUGAUCCAUAAUAUGAUGAUUAAAAGAUUAAGUUACCUUAGGGAUAACAGCGUAAUUCUUUCGGAGAGUUCAUAUUGAUGAAGGAGUUUGCGACCUCGAUGUUGGAUUAAAAUAAGUAUUAGGUGUAGCAGCUUAAUAACUAGGUCUGUUCGACCUUUAAAGUUUUACAUGAUCUGAGUUCAAAACCGGAGA